ACCGUCGGCAAGGCCUACCCGCUGGCGUUGGCGAAACUGAAUUCGCACUGGAAGGCCGCCGACAUCACGCUCGAUGCGCUCAGCAUCAUGCACACCGCCAACGAGCGCGGCGGAGUCGCUCCGCCGGAGGCUUUUGCGAUUCAUCGCACGCUGCUGGCUGAAGCCGGCGAGGGCGUCGAUACCAACGNNNNNNNNNGGAGAAAAUCAGCGCCGCCGAUUACAUCCUGGCCCUGCGGGACCGCGAGCGCGGCAUCGCGCA
Molecule: unclassified non-coding RNA, 259 nt
Filed under: Hevea brasiliensis (rubber tree)
Lineage: Eukaryota; Viridiplantae; Streptophyta; Magnoliopsida; Malpighiales; Euphorbiaceae
Source: RNAcentral